This 1408-nucleotide ribosomal RNA is filed under the name Heteroscytonema crispum UCFS10. Its description in RNAcentral is "bacterial SSU rRNA". It matches the Rfam family "Bacterial small subunit ribosomal RNA". Lineage: Bacteria; Bacillati; Cyanobacteriota; Cyanophyceae; Nostocales; Heteroscytonemataceae. The record is from RNAcentral.
UAGUGGCGGACGGGUGAGUAACGCGUGAGAAUCUGCCUUCAGGUCUGGGACAACCACUGGAAACGGUGGCUAAUACCGGAUGUGCUUCACGGUGAAAGAUUAAUCGCCUGAAGAUGAGCUCGCGUCUGAUUAGCUAGUUGGUGGGGUAAGAGCCUACCAAGGCGACGAUCAGUAACUGGUCUGAGAGGAUGAUCAGUCACACUGGAACUGAGACACGGUCCAGACUCCUACGGGAGGCAGCAGUGGGGAAUUUUCCGCAAUGGGCGAAAGCCUGACGGAGCAAUACCGCGUGAGGGAGGAAGGCUCUUGGGUUGUAAACCUCUUUUCUCAGGGAAGAAGACAAUGACGGUACCUGAGGAAUAAGCAUCGGCUAACUCCGUGCCAGCAGCCGCGGUAAUACGGAGGAUGCAAGCGUUAUCCGGAAUGAUUGGGCGUAAAGCGUCCGCAGGUGGUUUUGUAAGUCUGCUGUUAAAGCGUCAUGCUCAACAUGAUAAAGGCAGUGGAAACUACUCAACUCGAGUGCGUUCGGGGCAGAGGGAAUUCCUGGUGUAGCGGUGAAAUGCGUAGAGAUCAGGAAGAACACCGGUGGCGAAAGCGCUCUGCUAGGCCGCAACUGACACUGAGGGACGAAAGCUAGGGGAGCGAAUGGGAUUAGAUACCCCAGUAGUCCUAGCCGUAAACGAUGGAUACUAGGUGUUGCUUGUAUCGACCCGAGCAGUACCGUAGCUAACGCGUUAAGUAUCCCGCCUGGGGAGUACGCACGCAAGUGUGAAACUCAAAGGAAUUGACGGGGGCCCGCACAAGCGGUGGAGUAUGUGGUUUAAUUCGAUGCAACGCGAAGAACCUUACCAGGACUUGACAUGUCGCGAAUUUCGGUGAAAGCUGAAAGUGCCUUCGGGAGCGCGAACACAGGUGGUGCAUGGCUGUCGUCAGCUCGUGUCGUGAGAUGUUGGGUUAAGUCCCGCAACGAGCGCAACCCUCGUUUUUAGUUGCCAGCAUUCAGUUGGGCACUCUAGGGAGACUGCCGGUGACAAACCGGAGGAAGGUGGGGAUGACGUCAAGUCAGCAUGCCCCUUACGUCCUGGGCUACACACGUACUACAAUGCUACGAACAAAGGGCAGCGACACAGCGAUGUGAUGCAAAUCUCAGAAAUCGUGGCUCAGUUCAGAUCGCAGGCUGCAACUCGCCUGCGUGAAGUCGGAAUCGCUAGUAAUUGCAGGUCAGCAUACUGCAGUGAAUUCGUUCCCGGGCCUUGUACACACCGCCCGUCACACCAUGGAAGCUGGUAGUGCCCGAAGUCAUUACCCCAACCUUUCGAGGAGGGGGAUGCCUAAGGCAGGACUGGUGACUGGGGUGAAGUCGUAACAAGGUAGCCGUACCGGAAGGUGUGGCUGGAUCACCUCCUUU